Molecule: ribosomal RNA, 511 nt
Filed under: uncultured archaeon
Lineage: Archaea
Description: bacterial SSU rRNA
Rfam family: Archaeal small subunit ribosomal RNA
Source: RNAcentral
ACGGGGUGCAGCAGGCGCGAAACCUUCACAAUGUGCGAAAGCGCGAUGAGGGGAUCCCAAGUGCUUGCUCGUAAGAGUAAGCUGUUUUUAUGUCUAAAAAGCAUAGAGAGUAAGGGCUGGGUAAGACGGGUGCCAGCCGCCGCGGUAAUACCUGCAGCUCAAGUAGUGACCACUAUUAUUGGGCCUAAAACGUUCGUAGCCGGUUUGAUAAAUGCCUGGGUAAAUAGUGUAGCUUAACUAUACGAAUUCCGGGUAGACUGUUAAACUUGAGACCGGGAGAGGCUAGAGGUACUCCUGGGGUAGAGGUGAAAUUCUGUAAUCCUGGGGGGACCACCAGUGGCGAAGGCGUCUAGCUAGAACGGGUCUGACGGUGAGGAACGAAGCCCUGGGGCGCGAACCGGAUUAGAUACCCGGGUAGUCUCAGGGUGUAAACGCUGCUUGCUUGAUGUUAGUUGGGCUCCGAGCCCAAUUAGUGUCGGAGAGAAGUUGUUAAGCAAGCUGCCUGGAAGUA